AAGUCGUAACAAGGUUUCCGUAGGUGAACCUGCGGAAGGAUCAUCAAUGAAUUUUCAAAUGAUGGCCUACAUCUUUGAAAUUGUCUAGCGAAUUUUAUUUGCUUGAUUGGAAUUGACGGAUUAUUGCCUAAUUCAGGCGAUAAUCAACUUUACCGACCAAAAAACAACUUUCGGCAACGGAUCUCUCGGCUCACC
RNAcentral lists this unclassified non-coding RNA (195 nucleotides) under fungal sp. RNAcentral's name for it is "partial internal transcribed spacer region". The stretch from base 1 to 46 matches the Rfam family "Eukaryotic small subunit ribosomal RNA", at positions 1786 to 1831 of the family's 1831-position model. The record is from RNAcentral. Lineage: Eukaryota; Fungi.